Molecule: ribosomal RNA, 250 nt
Filed under: uncultured bacterium
Lineage: Bacteria
Description: partial 16S ribosomal RNA
Rfam family: Bacterial small subunit ribosomal RNA
Source: RNAcentral
UACGUAGGGCGCAAGCGUUGUCCGGAUUCACUGGGUGUAAAGGGUGCGCAGGCGGAUUGGCAAGUCAGAAGUGAAAUCUUACGGCUCAACCGUGAAACUGCUUUUGAUACUGCUUAUCUUGAGUUCGGGAGAGGUUGAUGGAAUUCCAGGUGUAGCGGUGAAAUGCGUAGAUAUCUGGAAGAACACCAGUGGCGAAGGCGGUCAACUGGCCCGCAACUGACGCUCAUGCACGAAAGCGUGGGGAUCAAAC